RNAcentral lists this ribosomal RNA (365 nucleotides) under bacterium enrichment culture DGGE band 61_1_FGQ_L. RNAcentral's name for it is "bacterial SSU rRNA". It matches the Rfam family "Bacterial small subunit ribosomal RNA", at positions 505 to 867 of the family's 1533-position model. The record is from RNAcentral.
GUGUCAGCCGCCGCGGUAAUACGUAGGGGGCUAGCGUUAUCCGGAUUCAUUGGGCGUAAAGCGCGCGUAGGCGGGCUGUUAAGUCAGAUGUGAAAACCGGGGGCUCAACCCGCGGCCUGCAUCUGAAACUGGCAGCCUCGAGUCUGGUAGAGGAAAGUGGAAUUCCCAGUGUAGCGGUGAAAUGCGCAGAUAUUGGGAGGAACACCAGUGGCGAAGGCGGCUUUCUGGGCCACGACUGACGCUGAGGCGCGAAAGCUAGGGGAGCAAACAGGAUUAGAUACCCUGGUAGUCCUAGCCGUAAACGAUGGGCACUAGGUGUGGGAGGUCAUCGACUCCUUCCGUGCCGCAGCUAACGCAUUAACUGC